GUGCUCACUUUGGCAGGACAUACCCUAAAAUUGGAAUAAUACAGAGAUUAGCAUACCCUGCACAAAGACAACAUGAAAAUUCAUGAAACAGUCCAUAUUUCU
Oryctolagus cuniculus (rabbit) is the source of this 102-nucleotide small nuclear RNA. The record is from Ensembl. NCBI's taxonomy places the organism in Eukaryota, Metazoa, Chordata, Mammalia, Lagomorpha, Leporidae.